This 1343-nucleotide ribosomal RNA is filed under the name uncultured bacterium. RNAcentral's name for it is "16S ribosomal RNA". It matches the Rfam family "Bacterial small subunit ribosomal RNA", at positions 28 to 1378 of the family's 1533-position model. The record is from RNAcentral.
GACGAACGCUGGCGGCGUGCUUAACACAUGCAAGUCGAACGGAAAGGCCCUGCUUUUGUGGGGUGCUCGAGUGGCGAACGGGUGAGUAACACGUGAGUAACCUGCCCUUGACUUUGGGAUAACUUCAGGAAACUGGGGCUAAUACCGGAUAGGAGCUCCUGCUGCAUGGUGGGGGUUGGAAAGUUUCGGCGGCUGGGGAUGGACUCGCGGCUUAUCAGCUUGUUGGUGGGGUAGUGGCUUACCAAGGCUUUGACGGGUAGCCGGCCUGAGAGGGUGACCGGCCACAUUGGGACUGAGAUACGGCCCAGACUCCUACGGGAGGCAGCAGUGGGGAAUAUUGCACAAUGGGCGGAAGCCUGAUGCAGCAACGCCGCGUGCGGGAUGACGGCCUUCGGGUUGUAAACCGCUUCCGCCUGUGACGAAGCGUGAGUGACGGUAAUGGGUAAAGAAGCACCGGCUAACUACGUGCCAGCAGCCGCGGUGAUACGUAGGGUGCGAGCGUUGUCCGGAUUUAUUGGGCGUAAAGGGCUCGUAGGUGGUUGAUCGCGUCGGAAGUGUAAUCUUGGGGCUUAACCCUGAGCGUGCUUUCGAUACGGGUUGACUUGAGGAAGGUAGGGGAGAAUGGAAUUCCCGGUGGAGCGGUGGAAUGCGCAGAUAUCAGGAGGAACACCAGUGGCGAAGGCGGUUCUCUGGGCCUUUCCUGACGCUGAGGAGCGAAAGCGUGGGGAGCGAACAGGCUUAGAUACCCUGGUAGUCCACGCUGUAAACGGUGGGUACUAGGUGUGGGGUCCAUUCCACGGGUUCCGUGCCGUAGCUAACGCUUUAAGUACCCCGCCUGGGGAGUACGGCCGCAAGGCUAAAACUCAAAGGAAUUGACGGGGCCCCGCACAAGCGGCGGAGCAUGCGGAUUAAUUCGAUGCAACGCGUAGAACCUUACCUGGGUUUGACAUGGAUCGGGAGUGCUCAGAGAUGGGUGUGCCUCUUUUGGGGUCGGUUCACAGGUGGUGCAUGGCUGUCGUCAGCUCGUGUCGUGAGAUGUUGGGUUAAGUCCCGCAACGAGCGCAACCCUUGUUCACUGUUGCCAGCACGUUAUGGUGGGGACUCAGUGGAGACCGCCGGGGUCAACUCGGAGGAAGGUGGGGAUGACGUCAAGUCAUCAUGCCCCUUAUGUCCAGGGCUUCACGCAUGCUACAAUGGCUGGUACAGAGAGUGGCGAGCCUGUGAGGGUGAGCGAAUCUCGGAAAGCCGGUCUCGGUUCGGAUUGGGGUCUGCAACUCGACCUCAUGAAGUCGGAGUCGCUAGUAAUCGCAGAUCAGCAACGCUGCGGUGAAUACGUUCCCGGG